Non-coding RNA from Chrysemys picta bellii (western painted turtle), 2672 nucleotides. Lineage: Eukaryota; Metazoa; Chordata; Testudines; Emydidae. The record is from RefSeq and is a predicted model, not a curated record.
UAACAUCACAUAUGAAAUGUAUCAAGAAUCACUGUCCUUGACACUAAAUGAUUUGUUUCUUUCAUGCAGAAUGCUCAAUCAGACAUGUGGGUUUGAACUUUUAAGUUGUUCUGUUUUGUGAAGUUCCAAACUGCAUAUUGAUUCAAGCAGAAGCUACUUCUGAAAGGGAAUUCCAGCCCCUCUGUGAGAGAAAUGCAAUGAUCUGCUGGGCUGUCAGCACCAGGAAAUGCGCAAAGCAUCAACAUGCCAGGCUCGCCAGGCAGCUAAGUUGCUGCAUUUGUGUCACAAAUCCAAUCUGAGUGAAAGCCCUGUAUCAGCUCUGGGAUCUGACUCAGCUGGAGUGAUGAGCUUUCCCUGGUUUGCAAUGCCAAACUGGCCUCUCUUCCAAAAGGCAGAAAAUUUGCAGGGCAGCUGGAUGAAGAGGACCUGUGACACUUUGACCUCUGCAGUAUAUUUUUCAGACUCCAGUGCAUCAGGAGAGCUCAAAACAUUACUUUUAGAAGUGUUUGUUUAAAAAGAAGUUUCCCCCAGUCUGAGGAAGAUUAAGAAAUUGCUCCAAGUUAUAUUUUCAUUUUGAAAAUUCAUCUGAAAUAUUGAGCAAGAAAGCGAUGAAGAGUCUAAAACAUGUUCUGUGAAAUGCUUUGGGGACUUUUGGAAAAGCACCUAAGAAAGAGAAAAAGAAAGAGAACAGAGUGCCCCCAAACUGCUAUUUUGAUUAGAACAAAAUUCUCCAAAGAAAAAUCCAUGAAGCUGAAACAGAAGAUUUUAAAGACAACUCCACAGCACUAAAAUUAUCACUUUGCCACCAUUAGCUGAAAAUAGGGGCAAAAGUAAAUUAAAUUGUCAGGAAAUAGGGUGGCAAGUUGCUGGCCACAGCAAACCAUAACAUUAAGAUAAAUAAAGUAACAGUUGGAAUGUGAACAUGCUGCCCUGAAAAACUGAGAUAAUUGUUUACAGUUUGGGAUGUGUGGAAUGUUGGCAUGCGUCCAAGUAAAAAGCGGAGCAUGCUCAGUACAAAUGUGGGCUAAAGGUGAUCUAAAUAGGUCAGUGGAGCAUGCUCAGCACAGAAAUAGGCUAACGUUUACAGACCAUAAUACUAAAGAGGCCAUAAUAUUCGGUUACCAUAAUAUUCAGUACAGCCUAUAAUAUCCAAAAGUGGUAAACACUGACGCAACAAUCAUUUUUCCAACAAUUGUGAUUGGAGAAUAAAGAGAAGGAUUAAAAAGUAGCCAAUAGAAUGUUUGCAAUGAUCAUAAUGUGGGUGUGCUCAAAAGGGGUCUGAUGACUGGCAAAACUGUAUAAAAGGCAGUGUGCCAAAAGGGAUUUUUAAGUCAUCGGUUAUGGAGAGGGAGAAGUCAGGAGCAGGAGAAGUAGAAGGAAGAAGAAGAAGCAGGACCAGCUGCAGGGUGAACGGCAAUAGAGGUGGCUGCUGGUACAGAGCAGAAAAGGACCAUGACAGCAGACGGAGAGACGCCUCCAGAGAAAAAACUGUGAGAAGACCAAGAGCUCUCCUAGAGCCAACAAGAACUAAAGAACAUGCAGAUGGUGCUCUCUCUGGCUAAGAAAUUAAUAACGAAGAAAUUUCCCCUCCACCCCAAGGCCCUCCAGUUGUGGAGAGGAAUAGAGAAUCUGAUGGCAGCUCUGAGUAAGGGACAGUAACGGCAGUGAAUUGAGGUUAAGUGCUGCUGAGCCUUUUAUGGAUGAGAAUUACCAUUACAAUUAGUGCCUAUGGACAGGAACUCUCUUCCUCUACGACCAACAAGUCCAAAAAUUAACCUCCUGUGGAACAGAUGUUCAUAUGCCUUUCCUGAUCUGCAUAGCACACCACAUUUAUCCUUUCUUGUUAACUCCACUGAAUUUUCUUCCUCGCAAUGCAUUCUACACUGGUUUGAAAUGUUUCACCAACAAUUAAUUUCUUACUACCAAAGGUUAUGGUGGAUUCUCCACCAUUGAACAUUUUAAAAUCCAGAUUGGAUGUUUUUCUAAAAGACAUGCACUAGUUCAAACAGGAAUUAAUUCAGAGAAGUCCUACAGCCUGUGUUAUGCAGCAGGUCACACUAAAUUAUCACAAUGGUCCCUUCUGACCUUAUACUCUGUGAAAACUGGUAUUCUAUGUCUAUGAGAGAGAGGACAUAUUUAAACCAUAGCUUCAGGGCACAUUCAGUUAGUGGAACUUCCUAGGCUAGCAGCUCUGAAGGCUAAAUUCUGAAGGCUGAAUCAAGUGCUGUAGUACCUGAGCACUCUUGUUACCAAGUGGUUUGAGCAGGUAAAUUUUAGUCUAUUUACUAUAUUAAGUUCAAUUGCUAUACUCAAAGCAUUUUAAGGAGGCACAAUUAAGUACUAAAAAUGAGGAGCUGCCAAACUUUAGGUUGCAUGUAGAAUUGUACUUUGUCACAGUAUUCCAUACACACAAGGGGCAAUCAGGAUCCAGAGACCCACCCCAGGGAAAAUUAGGUGGUCUGAACCACAAAGAGUAAGCAAUUGAAUCAACUGGUUGUAUACCAUGUUAUUGUGGAUAACUGUGUGACAAUAAGGUCUUUUGUGAAAGCUUGUGUAACCCUUCUGCCUGUCUGAGUUGGCAGCAACAAGGGCCGGGUUCAGUAUCUAGGGAUUCCGUUUCAGUAACACAAUGCAAAACCGGCUCAAGCCCCCACCCAGUGACCUGGGACAAU